Long non-coding RNA from Homo sapiens (human), 185 nucleotides. The record is from Ensembl. NCBI's taxonomy places the organism in Eukaryota, Metazoa, Chordata, Mammalia, Primates, Hominidae.
UUGAGAUGGAGUCUCACUUUGUCACCCAGGCUGGAAUGCAGUGGCAUGAUCUCGGCUCACUGCAACCUUUGCCUCCCAGGUUCAAGCAAUUCUCCUGUCUCAGCCUCCCCAGUAGUUGGGAUUACAGGCACACACCACCACACCAGGCUAAUUUUUGUAUUUUUAGUAGAGACAGGGUUUCACCA